CACCAGACUCCUACGGGAGGCAGCAGUGAGGGAUAUUGGUCAAUGGGGGAAACCCUGAACCAGCAACGCCGCGUGAGGGAAGACGGUUUUCGGAUUGUAAACCUCUGUCCUCUGUGAAGAUAAUGACGGUAGCAGAGGAGGAAGCUCCGGCUAACUACGUGCCAGCAGCCGCGGUAAUACGUAGGGGGCAAGCGUUAUCCGGAUUUACUGGGUGUAAAGGGGGCGCAGACGGCCAUGGCAAGCCCGGUGUGAAAGGCAGGGGCAUAACCCCUGGACUGCACUGGGAACUGUCAGGCUGGAGUGCCGGAGGGGUAAGCGGAAUUCCUGGUGUAGCGGUGAAAUGCGUAGAUAUCAGGAGGAACACCGGCGGCGAAGGCGGCUUACUGGACGGCAACUGACGUUGAGGCCCGAAAGCGUGGGGAGCAAACAGGAUUAGAUACCCUUGUA
This 447-nucleotide ribosomal RNA is filed under the name uncultured bacterium. RNAcentral describes it as "bacterial SSU rRNA". It matches the Rfam family "Bacterial small subunit ribosomal RNA", at positions 329 to 792 of the family's 1533-position model. The record is from RNAcentral.